UACGAAGGGGGCUAGCGUUGUUCGGAAUCACUGGGCGUAAAGGGCGCGUAGGCGGACCGGCGAGUCAGGGGUGAAAGCCCGCGGCCCAACCGCGGAAGUGCCCCUGAUACCGCCGGCCUUGAGGGGGAUAGGGGCGUGCGGAACUUCGGGUGGAGCGGUGAAAUGCGUAGAUAUCCGAAGGAACACCGGUGGCGAAGGCGGCACGCUGGGUCCCUACUGACGCUGAGGCGCGAAAGCCAGGGGAGCGAACGGG
RNAcentral lists this ribosomal RNA (253 nucleotides) under uncultured bacterium. RNAcentral's name for it is "partial 16S ribosomal RNA". It matches the Rfam family "Bacterial small subunit ribosomal RNA", at positions 524 to 776 of the family's 1533-position model. The record is from RNAcentral.